This 240-nucleotide ribosomal RNA is filed under the name uncultured bacterium. RNAcentral's name for it is "partial 16S ribosomal RNA". It matches the Rfam family "Bacterial small subunit ribosomal RNA", at positions 94 to 334 of the family's 1533-position model. The record is from RNAcentral.
AGCGGCGGACGGGUGAGUAACGCGUGGGUAACCUGCCUCAUACAGGGGGAUAACAGUUGGAAACGGCUGCUAAUACCGCAUAAGCGCACAGUACCGCAUGGUACCGUGUGAAAAACUCCGGUGGUAUGAGAUGGACCCGCGUCUGAUUAGGUAGUUGGUGGGGUAACGACCUACCAAGCCGACGAUCAGUAGCCGACCUGAGAGGGUGACCGGCCACAUUGGGACUGAGACAUGGCCCAA